Molecule: ribosomal RNA, 250 nt
Filed under: uncultured bacterium
Lineage: Bacteria
Description: partial 16S ribosomal RNA
Rfam family: Bacterial small subunit ribosomal RNA
Source: RNAcentral
GAUCCUGGCUCAGGAUGAACGCUGGCGGCGUGCUUAACACAUGCAAGUCGAACGGGAAUUACUUUAUUGAAACUUCGGUCGAUUUAAUUUAAUUCUAGUGGCGGACGGGUGAGUAACGCGUGGGUAACCUGCCUUAUACAGGGGGAUAACAGUCAGAAAUGGUUGCUAAUACCGCAUAAGCGCACAGAGCUGCAUGGCUCAGUGUGAAAAACUCCGGUGGUAUAAGAUGGACCCGCGUUGGAUUAGCUUG